ACGUAGGGUGCAAGCGUUAAUCGGAAUUACUGGGCGUAAAGCGCACGUAGGCGGCUUUGUAAGUUAGAGGUGAAAGCCCGGGGCUCAACUCCGGAACUGCCUUUAAGACUGCAUCGCUUGAACGAUGGAGAGGUAAGUGGAAUUCCGAGUGUAGAGGUGAAAUUCGUAGAUAUUCGGAAGAACACCAGUGGCGAAGGCGACUUACUGGACAUCUGUUGACGCUGAGGUGCGAAAGCGUGGGGAGCAAACAGGA
Molecule: ribosomal RNA, 253 nt
Filed under: uncultured prokaryote
Description: partial 16S ribosomal RNA
Rfam family: Bacterial small subunit ribosomal RNA
Source: RNAcentral